RNAcentral lists this long non-coding RNA (1308 nucleotides) under Betta splendens (Siamese fighting fish). Its description in RNAcentral is "lncRNA (ENSBSLG00000006236.1)". The record is from RNAcentral. Lineage: Eukaryota; Metazoa; Chordata; Actinopteri; Anabantiformes; Osphronemidae.
CAAAAAUAUACGAAAGCUGAUUUACGCUCGUCCUAAGCUAAAAAAAACUCUGCUAUUAUCAUUUCUUGCCUAACAGUACGACAGGUUAGAAGACAAGUUAACAGUGGACAACGCUAGCGGAAGCAGGUCCGUUUCGGUAUGUUGUCCCUUGGAAACGCAAGCUCAUGUGUAAUUGUUCCUACUUACAAGAUACAUAUUUCAUUCUAUGGGUACGUGAUUUGACUUCUAAAAAGUCCAAGCAGUCACUUUAAAAUACUACAUGAAAAGAAAACAUCUCCCCCACUUGCACUUUAUUCAAUGCAACAGGUAGUAACCUGGAGCAUAAUCAUGAAUUUCUGCCAGGCACUGUUAACUCUGGAAAGCAAGAUCAUUUUUGUAUGUUGGUCUGAGCUGAUAGUGUGCUGACAAAUAUCUAAAACACUAGGAUGGAUUUAAAUCAGUUUCUUUGUCUAGUUUUGAAAAAAAAACUAUUUUCCACUGGUUUAUUGUUUUUUAACAGGGUACUUUGAUCAAACUCCGUUUUUGCUCAUAAGAGAAACGAGAAAACGAAUGUGCUUUGUAUUUGAUCUUCUGGACAACUUAAUCAGAGGACGGCUUAAUUUCUGUCGAUGUCCUCUGGAAAGAAAAAUAUCAAUCCAUUAUUUAAAUUGCGCGUGAGCCCCGACUUCCUGCCGUCCGUUUCAAAAUAAGAGUCUCGCUAUCUUAAGCGUCCAACUUCCCUCCCUCCCUGUGUCCCUCUCUCUUUUUGUCCUCUGUGCCUUCCUUAGGAAAAUUGAUCAUCACCGGUCGAAGAAUACCAGAGCUGAUGGAGCGUACGGGCAGACUCCUGAUGACAGGUGCAGCUGUGGAGGCUGGAAAACUAUUUCCAGGGUUUCCUUGACGACAGGGACCAGAUAACGACCACAGGACGUGGAGAGAUAGAGAUGUCAUUCCGUGGCUCAGUGCACCUGCACUGCUUUGCUCCCUCCAGCGCAGACGACGAGGAGCCUCCGGAUAUCAACCACAAAGAGGAAGAAUUAGUUUCAUAGAUAAUCUAGAACAUCUGAUACAAGCCGCAAUAAAUCAAUUUAAUGUUAAACGCAUACUUUUUUGUAUUGCUUCAAGUGCCACUGAGAUUAUGAUUGUGUUGGUAAAAUGGUAAAAAUGCUUUUACUUAGGAUGUAACAUCUGCUCAAUAACACGCUCAGGUCAGAGCAGUGUUGUAACACUAAUCAUGAUGUGCAUUUGUUCACAUCAACUUCUUUCUUACUUUGCUUCACUACAUACAUCAAUUUAAGAAAUAAACUUGUAAAAUUAGUGCGUUGUUCA